GUCAGUUGCCAGCACACAAAGCUAUGCAAGCAAGUGUCUGAACUUUUGUCCUUCUUCACAUCAUGGACAGAUGGAGUGGACACAAGAGGGAGAUAAGCAAUUCCAAGUAGAUAUGGCAGCAUUUUUGGACCAAUACUGUGAGCAUGAGACCAUAGCAGUCUGCAGUUAACACCUUGAGAAGAACAUACAGCAGAAAAGCUUGGCCACCAGGAGGUCUGGCUGUAAUGCCAAUUCCAGAAGAGGCAGGAAAAACUGGACUGAACUUCAACAAGCAAGAUAUUCCCUGAUUGCCAGUGAUUGACAAGCCUGGCUUCAGUCCUACUCCUUGAACACACUACUACUAAAAAAUACAGGAGUUCAGUGGGUGAAUUCUCUUGGACUAGAUCUUCUACAAAGUUUGCACAAUGAUGAAGGAACAGAGGAACUUGAAAUAAUAGUUUGCACAUUCAGGUUUCACUUCUGGUGCUGUUAGUGAUCUGCUGUGCCACCUUUCAAUGAGCGAGUCUGGAGACAGUGUGAAGCACAAGUCUCAUCUUUCAAUCCCCUAAUAUGAAGAUUAAAAAAACCCCUUGGAAUUCAUCCCUUACUUUGGAAAAAGUUCCAAUGCUCAGAUGCUUAUGAGGACACAGAAUAUACUAAUCCUAUAGCAUCCAGCAAAAGAAAACCUCACAAGUACAAGCUCUUUGUGAAAUUUUUGGGAAGUCUUCCUCCAGCUGCAAUUGGGACCAUUGGUUUAAUUUUCAA
Passer domesticus (house sparrow) is the source of this 744-nucleotide long non-coding RNA. RefSeq lists it as uncharacterized. The transcript has 5 exons. Lineage: Eukaryota; Metazoa; Chordata; Aves; Passeriformes; Passeridae. The record is from RefSeq and is a predicted model, not a curated record.